This 1339-nucleotide ribosomal RNA is filed under the name hypersaline lake metagenome. Its description in RNAcentral is "bacterial LSU rRNA". It matches the Rfam family "Archaeal large subunit ribosomal RNA", at positions 1852 to 2987 of the family's 2987-position model. The record is from RNAcentral.
UGCGCAUUCUCACCGGCAGCACUAGGGUGGAGGUCAGAGUCUCCAGCAAGAGACCAUAUGAGCACUUCACCUCGCUCUUAGCAAGACUGCCUGAGUUUACCGAGAGGGAGAGGCGGCUGUUCAUAGCCGGCUUCUACAUGGCUGAAGGCGAAAAAAGCGGAGACGGGUCAGGAUGUGGAAUAGGGACAUACAGCUGCUCAAGCUGAUAGGUAGCUGGCUGAGAGAAUUCGGCAUAGAGAAGUUCAGCAUAUAUCUCGACGACAAGCGACAUGGAGUCUACGUCUUAGAGAUCCCCAGUAGAUACCGGCAUCUGUUCUUCAACAUAUGGGGGUUGGAAACGCCCUGUGAUCUUUACUAGACCUCCACGCGCCGCCCCCCGAGAGUUCCGGCGUGCAUGAAUGGAUCAACGAGGUCCCCACUGUCCCGGCCUGGGGCCCGGCGAACCCACCUCUAGGUGCACAGUCCUGGGACCCCCGACGGGGCGAGAAGUCCCUGUGGAGCUUCACUGCAGCCUGUCGUUGCGGAGGGGCGGGGGAUGCAGAGCGUAGGCAGGAGCGAUGAAACGGGGCCUCCGGGUCCCGUGGAUGCGGUCCUGGAACACUGCCCAUUCUCCGCCCCUCCGCUAACCUGGGGGCGACCCCGGGGACAGCGGCAGGCGGGCAGUUCGGCUGGGGCGGCACACCCCUGAAAAGAUAUCGGGGGUGCCCUAAGCUCGGCUCAGGCGGGUCAGGACUCCGCCGUAGAGUGUAAGGGCAAAAGCCGGGCUGACUGCGCCCUUGAACGCGAGGGGCGCAGGCGGGAAACCGGGGCCUAGAGAACGCUCGUGCCCCCACCAGUGGGGGCCGGGCAUGACAGAAAAGUUACCCCAGGAAUAACCGGCUCGUCGCGGGUGAGAGUCCCCAUCGACCCCGCGGUUUGGUACCCAGACGUCGUCUCUUCCCAUCCUGGCGGUGCAGCAGCCGCCAAGGGUGGGGCUGCCCGCCCAUUAAAGGGGAACGUGAGAUGGGUUCAGACCGUCGCGAGACAGGUCGGUCUCUACCUGUCGGGGGCGUUGGCCGCCUGAGGGGAAGGUGCCCUCAGUACGAGAGGAACGGGGCGCCGCGGCCUCUAGUCUACCGGUUGUCCGGCAGGGCACUGCCGGGCAGCCACGCCGUAGGGGAUAACCGCUGAAAGCAUCUAAGCGGGAAGCCCUCCCCGAGACGAGGCGGCCGUUGCCCUGGGGGCAACCCCGGGGCACGAGGGCUCCCGUAGAAGACGGGUUUGAUGGGGGGGCGGUGUAACCCCCGAGGGUUCUCCCGAGGGGGGAGCCGGCCCCUCCCAAUCGCCCGAGCGUGCGGAC